RNAcentral lists this ribosomal RNA (446 nucleotides) under uncultured bacterium. RNAcentral describes it as "partial 16S ribosomal RNA". It matches the Rfam family "Bacterial small subunit ribosomal RNA", at positions 338 to 795 of the family's 1533-position model. The record is from RNAcentral.
CCUACGGGUGGCAGCAGUCGAGAAUCAUUCACAAUGGGGGAAACCCUGAUGGUGCGACGCCGCGUGGGGGAAUGAAGGUCUUCGGAUUGUAAACCCCGGUGAUGUGGGAGCAAAUGAAAAAGAGAGUACCACAAGAGGAAGAGACGACUAACUCUGUGCCAGCAGCCGCGGUAAUACAGAGGUCUCAAGCGUUGUUCGGAAUCACUGGGCGUAAAGCGUGCGUAGGCGGUUUCGUAAGUCGUGUGUGAAAGGCGCGGGCUCAACCGGCGGACGGCACAUGAAACUGGGAGACUAGAGUAAUGGAGAGGGGAGCGGAAUUCCAGGUGUAGCAGUGAAAUGCGUAGAUAUAGGGAGGAACACCAGUGGCGAAGGCGGGUUCCUGGACAUUAACUGACGCUGAGGCACGAAGGCCAGGGGAGCGAAAGGGAUUAGAUACCCGUGUAGUC